UGGCUUAGCGGUUAAGAGCACUGACUGCUAAUCCAGAGGUCCUGAGUUCAAUUCCCAG
RNAcentral lists this transfer RNA (58 nucleotides) under Mus musculus (house mouse). Lineage: Eukaryota; Metazoa; Chordata; Mammalia; Rodentia; Muridae. The record is from Rfam by way of RNAcentral.